CUAAGAAUCUUCCGCAAUGGGGGAAACCCUGACGGAGCGACGCCGCGUGGACGAUGAAGGCCGGAAGGUUGUAAAGUCCUUUUCUUGGUGAAGAAUAAGGGUGGGAGUGGAAUGCCCGCCUGAUGACGUUAACCAAGGAAUAAGCCCCGGCCAAUUACGUGCCAGCAGCCGCGGUAACACGUAUGGGGCGAGCGUUGUUCGGAAUUAUUGGGCGUAAAGGGCGUGUAGGCGGUCUGUUAAGCCUGGUGUUAAAGGUGUCGGCUCAACCGGCACUGUGCGCUGGGAACUGGCGGGCUGGAGUACUGGAGGGGGAGCUGGAAUUCCUGGUGUAGGGGUGAAAUCUGUAGAUAUCAGGAAGAACACCGGUGGCGAAGGCGAGCUCCUGGCCAUGUACUGACGCUGAGGCGCGAAAGCGUGGGGAGCGAACAGGAUUAGAUACCCCCGUAGUCC
RNAcentral lists this ribosomal RNA (450 nucleotides) under uncultured prokaryote. Its description in RNAcentral is "bacterial SSU rRNA". It matches the Rfam family "Bacterial small subunit ribosomal RNA", at positions 355 to 796 of the family's 1533-position model. The record is from RNAcentral.